GAUGAACGCUGGCGGCGUGCCUAAUACAUGCAAGUCGAGCGAACAGACGAGGAGCUUGCUCCUCUGACGUUAGCGGCGGACGGGUGAGUAACACGUGGAUAACCUACCUAUAAGACUGGGAUAACUUCGGGAAACCGGAGCUAAUACCGGAUAAUAUAUUGAACCGCAUGGUUCAAUAGUGAAAGACGGUUUUGCUGUCACUUAUAGAUGGAUCCGCGCCGCAUUAGCUAGUUGGUAAGGUAACGGCUUACCAAGGCAACGAUGCGUAGCCGACCUGAGAGGGUGAUCGGCCACACUGGAACUGAGACACGGUCCAGACUCCUACGGGAGGCAGCAGUAGGGAAGCUUCCGCAAUGGGCGAAAGCCUGACGGAGCAACGCCGCGUGAGUGAUGAAGGUCGUCGGAUCGUAAAACUCUGUUAUUAGGGAAGAACAAAUGUGUAAGUAACUAUGCACGUCUUGACGGUACCUAAUCAGAAAGCCACGGCUAACUA
Molecule: ribosomal RNA, 493 nt
Filed under: uncultured bacterium
Lineage: Bacteria
Description: partial 16S ribosomal RNA
Rfam family: Bacterial small subunit ribosomal RNA
Source: RNAcentral